UCAUUUCUACUACUCUUAUCUUUUGGAUAUGAGAAUUCUUGACCGGCUAACACUCAGCUCCAUACAACAUGUCUGGUCUAACCACCGCUUUAUAGAACUUGCAUUUGAGUCUCGGAGGCACAUUCUUGUCACAUAGGACUCCAGACGCUAAUCUCCAUUUCAUCAACCUCACUCUUAUACGAUGCGUAACAUCCCGUCGAUCUCCCCAUCUCCCUGGAUAAUUGACCCUAAGCACUUAAAACUUUCUCUAUUGAGGAUGAUCUGUGAGUCAAGCCUGACUUCCACAUCCGCUUCCCCCUUCACGUUGCUGAACUUACAUUCUACAUACUCUGUCUUAGUGCUACUCAACUUGAAACCUUUAGAGUUUGCCUCCAUACCUCCAGUCUCCCAUUAGCGCUGACUCACGUCCCAUCAAUCAGAACUAUAUCAUCAGCGAACAACAUACACCAUGGCACCUCUCCUUGGAUAUGGUGUGUCAGUCCGUCCAUCGCCAAAGCAAAUAAGAACGGGCUGAAUGCAGAUCCUUUUGUGUAAUCCCAUUACCAACGGAAAAGGCUCUGAAUCACCUCCCACAGUCCUAACCCGAGUCAUAGCUCCAUCGUACAUAUCCUUUAUCGCUCUAAUGUAAGCCACCAGCAUACUUUUCACCUCCAGACACCUCCAAAGGACGUCCUUGGGGACCUUGUCAUAUGCCUUCUCUAGGUCAAUAAACACCAUAUGCAAAUCCCUCUUCCUAUCCCUGUAUAGUUACACCAACCUCUGAUAAGGUGGAUAGCUUCCGUAGUAGAAUGACUCGGCAUGAACCAGAACUGGUUUUCUGAUAUAAACACUGCCCUCCUUAUCCUCAUUUCCACCACCCUCUCCCAAACUUUCAUGGUAUGACUUAGUAACUUGAUACCUUACAAUUCUGGAUAUCCCCUUUGUUCUUGUUCACCGAAACCUUUGUACUCCAACGCCACUCAUCAGGCAUCUUCUUUCUCUUGAAAAUAACAUUAAACAACCCAGUCAGCCACUCCAAGCCUUUUCUACUUGCAUUUCUCCAAAACUCUAUUGGAAUCUCGGUAGGUUCGAUCUCUUUUCCCGACUCAUCUUACCCAUCGCACCCAUGACCUCUUCAACCUUAAUGCGCCUACAAUAUCUAAAAUCUCGGUGACUCUCGGAGUGCCUUAAUUUCCCUAACAUGAUGUUUCCAUCCCCCACUUCAUUCAGAAGUUUAUAAAAGUACGACUGCCAUCUUUGCCUAAUCUGGGCCUCUUCCAUCACCUCGUCUUUGAUACACCUCACUUGAUCCAGAUCGCGAGCCUUUUUCUCUCGCUUUGUCCAAUCAAAAUAACUUCUUAUCCCCACCUUUGCCCUCCAGUUCCUCAUAAAGCCGACCAAAAGCAGUAGUCUUAGCCUCUGUGACCGCUAUUUUCGCCUCUUUCCUAUCCUCCGUUUAUCUUUCUGUAUUCGCUCUCCUUUAAUCCUCGUCAGUGCUCUAUACUAACUUAAUGUAUGUCACUUUCUUGGCUUCCACUUUAUCUUGGAUUACAUCAUUCCACCACCAGUCAUCUUGGUUCCCGCCAUAAUAGCCUUUCGAAACUCCCAAAACCUCUCUUGUUGCCCCCUUAUACAGUCCGUUGUCACCGUCCACAUAGCGCUAGCAUACCUACCACUCUUUCAGGCACCCAUAUUUGUCACCCACACCUCCAAAUCUUGUGCAUAAUCCUCAGACAAAGCUCCCCGUCGGACCCUGUACAAAUCUCUUCUUUCUCUUUAUUAAAAUACCGACGUCCAUCACUAGGAGCCUAUUUUGAGUUGUAAGAUUCUCACUCGGGAUCACCUUGCAAUCCUCGCACAACCCCCUAUCACAACUUCUGAGGAGGAGAUAGUCAAUUUGAGUCUUAGCAACCAUACUUCGGAAAGUAACCAAAUGUUCCUUCCUCUUCGCAAACAUAGAGUUCACAAUCGCCAACUCAAAGCUCUAGCGAAAUCUAACAGUGAGGUACCACCCCCAUUCCUAUCAGCAAAGCCGAUGCCACCGUGAACCUCACUAUAGCCACCAGUAGACAACCCAACAUGACCACUUAAAAUCCCUCAUAUGAAUAGAGUUCUCCCUCUAACUACUACCUUAAUCACCAUCAAUCUGUCAUUCACCCGUCUUAACUCUACCAUCGACUCUCUAAGCUUCCUGUCUACCAAAAUUCCCACUCUGUUCUUGCCCUUCACGACUCCGGAGAACCAAAAUUUAUACCCGUCUAUAUUCUUGCCUUCGAUCCUACCCACCUAGUCUCAUGCACAUGUGCUAUAUUGACCCUCCUCUUCAAGAGAAUCUUCGCCAGCUCUAUAGACUUACCCGUCAACGUCCCUAUAUUCCAAGAUACAACUCUCAACCUACAGGAUACCUUGUUC
RNAcentral lists this long non-coding RNA (2391 nucleotides) under Nicotiana benthamiana. RNAcentral describes it as "long non-coding RNA (NBEN_LNC033551)". The record is from RNAcentral. Lineage: Eukaryota; Viridiplantae; Streptophyta; Magnoliopsida; Solanales; Solanaceae.